GAGGGAGGGAGGGAGAAAGAGGGAGGGAGCGAGGGCGACCGGAGCAAACAGAGCAUUAUCAACCGAAAUCAUCUCAGAGCACAUCUUCCGAGGAGCGCGCCGUGCCAACACGAGGCUCAAAGGCGUAAGUUUUCAACCCAACAAGUUUUUUUUAUUAUUAUUAUAUUGCUCCUUUCUCACAACCCGGACGCGAGCCCUGAUGGCAUUACGCGGACGUGGCGGUGGAUACCUUUACGACCGAGUCCCUUCUGUGUCGGGAGAGCCGAGCGGCAGGAUUGGGCGCUGCUGUGAUCUGCGUCUCGCCGCUUCGGUCGCUCUGCACUGCGGAGGGUAUUGAGUGUGAAGCGCGGAGCCGCUCCAGCCGUAUCGGAGGGGGAGAGGAGAAGGGUGCAGACAAACAGCGCUGAGGAAAGAGGCUUCCCAGGGGGACCUAUAGACACUAUGAUGUUCCGUGGUGGAGUCGCAGGUUUCGAGCGGCGCGUGAUUUUGAGCGUUUUGUUGCAGAAACCUUUGGAGCGAGCGCAGUCGGAGCUUUACGCGCGGGGCGCUGAGAGGAGGACCGCCGCGCGGUGAGGAGAGAGAGGGACAAAGUUGAAGGCGAUACAUGGGGUGUACUCUAAAUGGAUCUAAAGGAUAAAGGCUCGACUCAGGUCUCCACAUCCAAAUGUCAUCCCCCUCGGAGCCUGCCCCCGCCGGGCACCAGCAGUGUGUGACGGACAGGCCGACCGGAGCCUGCGGUGGCUCUCUGCUGCGUGGCUUCAAUUUGGCCCCGGCUGGGCCCCGCGUGAGGCCCCCAGUGAAUGCUGCUGCCGCUGCUGCCAUAGUCUGAUAACUCAGCAUGCGUGGAGUCGGGCCAACGAGGACCAGCCACCACUAAUGAGAGCAUUUCUCGUCCCCCUCUUCUGUCUCUGCUGCUGCUGCUAAGGACUACCGUUUACUGGAGUGGCGCGGACAUGAUCCUACUCUGAACACUACACCCUUACCGAACUCUCCUCACUUUUUUUGGAGUGUGGGGGACUAUUUUCUCCUUUUCUUACCAAUGCUGGAUAUAUAAUACGUUUCCUUCAAGAUUUUCUCAUUCUUUUUUAUUGCUACACAUCGAUCCUUUGUUCAUUUUUAAAUCUUUUUAGUUUUUCUUUCUCCAUUUGCUUGGCGGUUGGUGUUUUCCCUCCACUAUGGAGUUUCCUUGCGGACCCUGGAAUAAGGAUUGGCCUUCGUUUCUGCAGUUCUGGCUGACGGUUCUCCUGAGCCUGCAGCUGCAGUUCAGUCCGGCGGCGCCCUGCCCGGUGGAGUGCCGCUGCGACAAGACGUUUGUGUACUGCAACGAGCGCGCCCUGACCUCGGUGCCCCUGGGGGUGCAAGAGGGCUACAAGAUCCUCUACCUCCACAACAACCAGAUCAACAACGCCGGCUUCCCCCUGGAGCUCCACAACGUGGCCUCGGUGGAAACCGUCUUUCUGUACGGCAACCAGCUGGACGAGUUCCCCCUCAACCUGCCCAAGAACACGCGGGUCCUGCAUCUCCAGGAGAACAACAUCCAGACCAUCUCCCGGGCGGCGCUCGCCCAGCUCACCCAGCUGGAGGAGCUCCACCUGGACGACAACUCCAUCUCCACGGUCGGUGUGGAGGAGGGCGCCUUCCGCGAGGCGCUGAGCCUGAAGCUGCUCUUCCUCACCAAGAACCACCUGAGCAGUGUGCCCAUCGGCCUGCCCGAGGACCUGCAGGAGCUGCGGCUGGACGAGAACCGCAUCGCCAUCAUCGCCGAGGAGGCCUUCCAGAACGUGACCCGCCUGCAGCGCCUCCUGCUGGACGGGAACCUGCUGACGGACGAGGGCAUCGCGCCCGGAACCUUCCAGGACCUGGCCAACCUCCGGGAGCUGGCGCUGGCCCGGAACUCCCUGACCUUCCCGCCCCCGCUGCUGCCCAGCCAGUCCCUGCUGAAGCUCAGCCUGCAGGAGAACCAGAUCAACCUGAUCCCCGUGACGGCCUUUGCCGGCUUCCACCGGCUGGAGAAGCUGGACGUGUCCAACAACCAGCUCCAGAUCCUCACCCAGGGCGUGUUCGAUGGGCUGAUGAACCUCAGGCAGAUCACCGUGAGGAACAACCCCUGGCGCUGCGACUGCGCCGUCAAGUGGGUGGUGGUGUGGCUCAAGUCGCUGCCACCGUCCCUCAACGCCCGGGGCUUCGUGUGCCAGAGUCCGGACAAGGUGCGCGGCAUGGCGGUCCGGGAGCUCACGCUGGAGAACAUCCACUGCCCUACCGACUCCGGCGCCGAGAAGUCCCCGUGGCCCACCCUGCGCACCACGCCCCCUCCGCCGCCGACCACCAUCGGCGACCCUCCUCCCGCCACCACCACCGCCACCGUCGCCGGCGGCGGCGGCUUUGGCGCCGGUUUUGGCGACAGCUCCGCCCCGGCAGACCCCUCCUUCCCCAACUUCUUCGACCCGCCCCCCUCCCCCCUCCCGCCGCCGCCGCACCACCCGUCGGGGCCGCUGCCGCCUUACGAGGACCCACUGCAGAUCUCCUUCCACGGGGUCAACUCCACCUGCAUCCAGGUGAGCUGGGCGUCCUACUUCACCGUCACCGCCUACAAGGUGACCUGGGUGAAGAUGGGCCACAACCUGAUGGGCGACGUGACCCGCGAGCAGACGGUGAGCGGCGACCGCCGGCAGCUCAGCCUCACCGAGCUGGAGCCUCGCUCCGUGUACCGCAUCUGCGUGUACGUGCUGGACACCCUCAACUCCUACCGGCCCGGCGAGGACACCAUGUGCCUGGAGACCAGGACCAAGCCCGCCCCGGGCACCAAGCCGGCGGGGCCCGAGCAGGCCGCCCAGCAGGACCUCACCUCGACGCUGCUGUUGGCCGGGAUCAUAGGCGGGGCGGUGCUCAUCGUCCUGGUAACGCUGCUCAGCCUGUUCUGCUGGCACAUGCACAAGAAGAGCCGCUCGGCCUCGGCCAACUGGAAAUACAACCGGGGCCGGAGAAAAGACGACUACUGCGAGGCGGGCACAAAGAAGGACACCUCCAUUCUGGAGAUGACCGAGACCAGUUUCCAGAUAGUGUCGCUGAACAAUGAGCAGCUGCUGAAGGGGGAUUUCCGCAUUCAGCCAAUAUACACGCCCAACGGGGGCAUCGGCUUCAGAGACUGCCACCUCAGUAACAACAGUCUAGCGUACUGCAAGAGCAGCAACGUGCCCAGUACAGAGUUCUGCCACACGUGAUGCAAAAUUGGUUGAUAAUGCGUUGAGGCAUUGCCAGACACACACACGCAGAAAUGCAAAAACGUCCGCAACCCACCGAACACACACACACACACACGGGCACUUUCCUGCCGAGAAACUACAGGAAACCACAUGGACACACACCCACACCCACGCAAACUAGCCGAUUGUGUAGGCACCAAGACAAAAAAGACUUUGAAGAAAUCUAGUGAACUAUAACUGUACUAUAUAUAUUUCCAAGUUCUGUCUACAAUGUAAUUUAUACUGUGGAUUAUAAUGUGGGAUUCUCGCUAUGUUUUCUAUUAUUAUUAUUAUUAUUAUAAUUAUUAGAAGAAGAGAUACAGCUUUUGUUUCUUUGUUUUUGUAACCAGCAAGGUUAACAUGUUGGGAAACCUGAGGCCCCCAUGGCCUGGGCUGCACGUGAAAAACGAGAGUUCAAUCCGAAUCAGACAUGAGUGAGGUGUGGACUCUGACGCACACAGCGAACGUCCGUCUCUGAUAAGACACGACACAGCGCUUUGAAGUGGGGGCCCCUCGAGACUCUCUGCUGACCACGGGAACCAGACAUGACCUUUGGGUUUUAAAAAAGACACCACCGGCCACCCCCUCCCUAUCCAGAGCAGCAGUGUAGACUCUCAGAAGCUCCCACCUCGCUGAUUACAACGUGAGGGAGGGCUGGGCUGACUGGUGGUGAGAACCAGAGUGGGGGAAAAUAAAUGGAGCAGAAGUGCACUUUUCUUUUGGAAUUAAUGAAACCCCGAGCGUAUAACCAGCACUUCAGGAAAUUAGCUUUGGUUGAGUUAGCAGGGGAGUGAAUAGGGCACACUCUUUGACACGUCUUAGCCCUUUAAGGGUCUAAAUGGGGUACCCAUUAACUCUUAUUAAUGGGGUGGGUUUCAAGAGGAGAACGACAUUGGGUUCUGAUGGACACUGAGCCUAGCAUAAAGCAAAUAGCACCAUACCCAGAACUCCCAGUUUGACGGGUUAACAACAGAACAAAGGCAGGCUUUUCUUUAACAGAUGAGAUAAUAUUUUCAGAUUUUUUAUUUUUUUUGGAAAAAACUAACAGCGUUCCAAAUGUGUAUUUGCGCGUGGUAGCACAGGAAAACAAAGUGCCCAGUGUAGUACCGGUAAUUAGUUAUUUGUUAUUUUUCAAACCAGUGUCCCAAAAGUGAUAGGGGUAGCCGAUGUGUUCACUGCCUCCAGGGUGCAGUGGCUGGUGUGUCCACAAGAGGGCAAAGGCAGAGGGAGAGAAAGACAGAGAGGGAAAGAAAGGCAGAGAGAAAGACAAACGAGUUGCUGAGAUCACUUUACCUCGAUCCUUCCCCCUGGAGAACCAUUGGCCCGGGCCACAUUACUCAUGCUCAAACGCCGUUGUUUGGCAUAUUAAUGCUCAUCGAGCUACUUAAUGAUGUGGAAUCAUUUAAAACCAACAGUGUAUUCUACGCUAAGCGGCUAAAUGAUAUAGAUUUUUCCUCAUCUUCUUCUGCUUCCUCCUCAUCUCAUCAUCACCCCCUUUUUAUCAAUCAUAAAUCAACUCUCGCCUUUCCUUUCCUCAUCUUCUCCUAUGUGGGGUUUUUCAUUGGCCGAAAAAAGAAAGAAAUUAAGAAUGGGAGGGACGGGCGCGAUGGCUUUGGCCUUUUUGGAAACCCCAGUGGUGUCGCUAAUUACGCACCCCCUCAUCUCUGGAUGGCUUUGGCCCACGGCCCGUUGUUCGUUCGUUGCCUCAGAUGGAUUCAAAGCGUUUUCUCUUAUCCGCCCAUCUAUAAUCAAAUGGCGACAGAAGCAGCGCGUCCCUCCUGUGCUCUCUAUCCUUCGUCGGCGCUGUGCUCUUGUUCUUCAUCCGGCCCUUCAUCAUUAUCGCCUCCCAUCUCUCUGCAUGGGCCGCCGUCCCCUCCAUUUAGGGCGCUCUCCACCGCCGGCUCCAGCUCAUGCCGUUCGUUUAAUUGGACGUAAAGAAGAAUUAAAAAUAAUGAAAGUGUCCCCCUUGAGGACAAUGAGAGACUGCUUGAUGGAAGCCUUGAGGAAAGCGUAAAUACGGUGGGAUUGACGGCGAAUUCAAAAUGGCGCAAUAAAUGUGGAGAAAGCCGGAUCAGUGAAGUGGUGGAAGGUUAUACACUAUUCUGUGGAAAGAUAACGGAUAUGAGAAAAAUAGACGGAUUGGAUCUCGCUCUGCCGGGAUUUUAUCAGUGUACUUUCUCCGGGGCUGCCUGGCUCUCAUUGUGUGUGUGUCACUCUUGCUCUCCCCGUCUCUCUCUCUCUCCGUCUAUCUCUGUCUCAAGGCCUGUCACUGCCAGUGUCUCUCCCUCUGUCUCCCUCUGUCUCUCGGCCUGUCUCCUCACCUCUGGUCCCAGCAUGAGUUCAAUUAAACCACCGUCUGACUCCCAGGCCCCUGGGCGCCCGGGUAUUGGCCGUCCCCUGAAAGGUCCUCAUUAUGCGCCCCUUAAAGAAAAUACUUUUAUUUGCUUUGACAAGAUUUUAUUUGGGCUUAAAGUUUUCCCACCAAACGCCACCGCCCGCCGUCCCCACCACCAGUCCCCCCAACACACACAUACACACACCAGCUCCAAUCAUCCCGCCUCAUAAUCCUCAUCCAAAAAAGGGAGGGAAAUAUGCAGCCCCUAUUUCCGCCAGGCCGAAUCAAUGUCAUGCUUGGAGAUGACAGUAGGGAGCGAGAGAGAGAGAGAGAGAGAGUGAGUAAGAGGGAGCAGGGAAAAGAGAGAGGGAAGGAGAGAGAAGGAAGAAAGUUUGGGAGAGAGAGAGAGACAGACACAAAUAUUGUACUCAAACUGCAUUUAAAAAUAUAUAUUUUAUUUUAAAUAUACAUGAAGUUCAUCGAAGAACAAACCAGACUGCGAUGGUAGGUGUGGCAAUGUGGCGCUUAUCAGUGCCGGAACGUGAUUUGUACCAAGCUGUGUCGUUCUCAACCUUGUUGGAGGGUAUUGCGUAUAAGCUGUUUUCAAUGUGAGCAAUAUUUCCGAUCCAGACUAAUCUGUAUGCAUAGGUUUUUCUCUAUUUGACUUCCCGAUCAACACAUGCCAAGUCACAUCUCCUGUGGUCCCAGCAUAGAGUCUAAAUACUAUUUCUCCGCUGUCUGGGUUUCCAAUGUCGAUUUCACCAUGCAGUACUGUCCGUCCCAACCCUAGGCUGACCUCUCCUUGACCUUGACCUGCUUCGACCAGAGGUAUGACCGACUGCUCUGUUGCCCCGUUGCCAAACCAAGGUUCUGACCGGUUAUGCAUCCGAUAAUAACCGCUUCCUGUUGCGUGUCGUUUGGAACGUAUCACCACAUGUCCAUAAUCCCAAAACAGAAAAAACCUGAAGCUUUACUCUUCGUUUUGUUUCUUUAGCUUUAAUUUCUGUUGUGGUUGUUUUUUUGUUUUUGUUUUUAAUAAUCACUUUGUGUUUUGGAUAAUUGAAUCAGACCAAACAUGUCAGUUCAGACUAUUACAAUGUAUCUCACCAAUCAGUGAAUGUUUAUUUUUGUUGUUUUCUUGGGGUGGGGGAGGGAGGGAGGGAUGGAUGGAGACAGGAAUUGCCUUACACUUUAUGCAGUAUUGAAAAAGCAGCUGCAUUUAUUUCAAGGACUUCAUAGUGGUAAACCAACAAAAAAAAAGCAGAAAUAUAGACGGGCAGGGAAGAAAUCAACCAACUUAACUGAUAGAAAGCACAUGUAUUCGGUUGGAGAUAAGCUGCGCCGACGUCAUCCACAAUAACAGUAUUAGCAGCGUUGAAAAAAAGCAAAAAGUCCACAGAAAGAGAGUAGGAUCGGCCCUAACUGACUGUUGGUGCUCUCAGAGCGGUGCGAGGCUAACGAUCAAGGCGGUCUGAGGAAUAGCUCGGCGGCUUCUUUCACAGGAAACAUUACUCUUCAUUUCCACUCUGUGCGGUGAGAGAACACGGUUGUGGUGCCGUGACCAAUGGAAUUACACAAAACGUAUUCCCAUCUGAGACAGGCCGUUUAUUACUUUUAUCAGGGUGCCCGAGAACUAAUCCUUCCCCCUUAUAGCUCAUUGAUUCACGUUUUAAAUAAUUAUGUUUAAUGACUGAGAGGUCAACUUAGACAAAGUGUUCACGUGGACGAAAUGUAAUACGUUUAAAGUCAUCUUUUUUUUUAAAGCAGACUCGCUCAUGUUUAACUUUUUCUUAAAGCAAAAACCAUCCAUUGCAUAUAGGCCGCUAGUGAUCAGCUUUUAUUCAACGAUUUUCGCAUGUUAUUUCUUUUUUCUUGACCUUGUUUCUGGUGAGCGGUAGGUAAGCAGGUUUUUGAUAACUGGCCAAUUCAAAUAAAGGUUAUGCAUUCCCCGUGAGUCGAGCAACGCAUUCUACCCUUUUACCUCCAACAAUUGGCAUACACGGCCAAAAUAUAAUCAGUCCAUCAAACAGGAACAAUGUCCAAGACAUGAAAAGAAGCAGUCAGACCCACAGACAGAGGUUGCAUGAAAUGUGGUAGUGUUUGGGGUGAUAAAUCAUCCUGGAAUAUGAUUAAGACAUCUGCGUAUUGCGGUAACUAUUCAGAGGAGUUUUUCCUAGGCGCCAAAGUAACUUUUUUUUGUUCUCAUAAAGAAAUAUUGGUGUUGUUCCAUGUAUGUGCCUUGAGGUUGAACUUACAAUGUAAAGUCCUUGAAAACCUUUAAAUGUUUUUGCACAAAAUGUAAAUACUUAAGUGAAGCUUUUUGCAAAUAAAAGAGCCAUGGGAUUUAAAAUGGCCCAUAUUA
This is an RNA transcript of Gadus macrocephalus (Pacific cod), 7939 nucleotides long. It is a transcript of the gene named fibronectin leucine rich transmembrane protein 2, with no coding region annotated. The transcript has 3 exons. NCBI's taxonomy places the organism in Eukaryota, Metazoa, Chordata, Actinopteri, Gadiformes, Gadidae. The record is from RefSeq and is a predicted model, not a curated record.